CCGAAAGAUGGUGAACUAUACUUGAUCAGGUUGAAGUCAGGGGAAACCCCUGAUGGAAGACCGAAACAGUUCUGACGUGCAAAUCGAUUGUCAGAAUUGAGUAUAGGGGCGAAAGACAAUCGAACCAUCUAGUAGCUGGUUCCUUCCGAGUUUCCCUCAGGAUAGCUGGUUGCAUUUUAAUGUUAUAUAAAAUAAUCUUAUCUGGUAAAGCGAAUGAUUAGAGGCCUUAGGGUCGAAACGAUCUUAACCUAUUCUCAAACUUUAAAUGGGUAAGAACCUUAACUUUCUUGAUAUGAAGUUUAAGGUUAUGAUAUAAUGUGCCCAGUGGGCCACUUUUGGUAAGCAGAACUGGCGCUGUGGGAUGAACCAAACGUAAUGUUACGGUGCCCAAAUUAACAACUCAUGCAGAAACCAUGAAAGGCGUUGGUUGCUUAAAACAGCAGGACGGUGAUCAUGGAAGUCGAAAUCCGCUAAGGAGUGUGUAACAACUCACCUGCCGAAGCAACUAGCCCUUAAAAUGGAUGGCGCUUAAGUUGUAUACCUAUACAUUACCGCUAAAGUAGAUGAUUUAUAUUACUUGUGAUAUAAAUUUUGAAACUUUAGUGAGUAGGAAGGUACAAUGGUAUGCGUAGAAGUGUUUGGCGUAAGCCUUCAUGGAGCUGCCAUUGGCACAGAUCUUGGUGGUAGUAGCAAAUAAUCGAAUGAGACCUUGGAGGACUGAAGUGGAGAAGGGUUUCGUGUGAACAGUGGUUGAUCACGAGUUAGUCGGUCCUAAGUUCAAGGCGAAAGCCGAAAAUUUUCAAGUAAAAAAUCAGUGAGUAAUAUUGUCAAAUCUUUUAUGAUUUUUAAAUACUUGAAUAAUUUUGAACGAAAGGGAAUACGGUUCCAAUUCCGUAACCUGUUGAGUAUCCGUUUGUUAUUAAAUAUGGGCCUCGUGCUCAUCCUGGCAACAGGAACGACCAUAAAGAAGCCGUCGAGAGAUAUCGGAAGAGUUUUCUUUUCUGUUUUAUAGCCGUACUACCAUGGAAGUCUUUCGCAGAGAGAUAUGGUAGAUGGGCUAGAAGAGCAUGACAUAUACUGUUGUGUCGAUAUUUUCUCCUCGGACCUUGAAAAUUUAUGGUGGGGACACGCAAACUUCUCAACAGGCCGUACCAAUAUCCGCAGCUGGUCUCCAAGGUGAAGAGUCUCUAGUCGAUAGAAUAAUGUAGGUAAGGGAAGUCGGCAAAUUAGAUCCGUAACUUCGGGAUAAGGAUUGGCUCUGAAGAUUGAGAUAGUCGGGCUUGAUUGGGAAACAAUAACAUGGUUUAUGUGCUCGUUCUGGGUAAAUAGAGUUUCUAUCAUUUAUGGUAGUUACUUGUUCCCCGGAUAGUUUAGUUACGUAGCCAAUUGUGGAACUUUCUUGCUAAAAUUUUUAAGAAUACUAAUUGGGUUAAACCAGUUAGUUCUUAUUAAUUAUAACGAUUAUCAAUUAACAAUCAAUUCAGAACUGGCACGGACUUGGGGAAUCCGACUGUCUAAUUAAAACAAAGCAUUGUGAUGGCCCUAGCGGGUGUUGACACAAUGUGAUUUCUGCCCAGUGCUCUGAAUGUCAAAGUGAAGAAAUUCAAGUAAGCGCGGGUCAACGGCGGGAGUAACUAUGACUCUCUUAAGGUAGCCAAAUGCCUCGUCAUCUAAUUAGUGACGCGCAUGAAUGGAUUAACGAGAUUCCUACUGUCCCUAUCUACUAUCUAGCGAAACCACAGCCAAGGGAACGGGCUUGGAAUAAUUAGCGGGGAAAGAAGACCCUUUUGAGCUUGACUCUAAUCUGGCAGUGUAAGGAGACAUAAGAGGUGUAGCAUAAGUGGGAGAUAUUAGAUUUCGGUUUGGUAUCGACAAUGAAAUACCACUACUCUUAUUGUUUCCUUACUUACUUGAUUAAAUGGAACGUGUAUCAUUUCCUAGCCAUUAUACGGAUAUAUUUAUUAUAUCUUAUGGUAUUGGGUUUUGAUGCAAGCUUCUUGAUCAAAGUAUCACGAGUUUGUUAUAUAAUCGCAAACAAAUUCUUUAAUGAGAAAAUGCAUUUAUGUAUUUUCAAUUUGAAAAUUUGGUAUAACUCCAAUUACUCAGGUAUGAUCCAAUUCAAGGACAUUGCCAGGUAGGGAGUUUGACUGGGGCGGUACAUCUCUCAAAUAAUAACGGAGGUGUCCCAAGGCCAGCUCAGUGCGGACAGAAACCACACAUAGAGCAAAAGGGCAAAUGCUGACUUGAUCUCGGUGUUCAGUACACACAGGGACAGCAAAAGCUCGGCCUAUCGAUCCUUUUGGUUUAAAGAGUUUUUAACAAGAGGUGUCAGAAAAGUUACCAUAGGGAUAACUGGCUUGUGGCGGCCAAGCGUUCAUAGCGACGUCGCUUUUUGAUCCUUCGAUGUCGGCUCUUCCUAUCAUUGUGAAGCAAAAUUCACCAAGCGUUGGAUUGUUCACCCAUGCAAGGGAACGUGAGCUGGGUUUAGACCGUCGUGAGACAGGUUAGUUUUACCCUACUAAUGACAAAACGUUGUUGCGACAGCAUUCCUGCGUAGUACGAGAGGAACCGCAGGUACGGACCAAUGGCACAAUACUUGUUCGAGCGAACAGUGGUAUGACGCUACGUCCGUUGGAUUAUGCCUGAACGCCUCUAAGGUCGUAUCCGUGCUGGACUGCAAUGAUAAAUAAGGGGCAAUUUGCAUUGU
This 2707-nucleotide ribosomal RNA is filed under the name Drosophila persimilis. Its description in RNAcentral is "eukaryotic LSU rRNA". It matches the Rfam family "Eukaryotic large subunit ribosomal RNA", at positions 816 to 3185 of the family's 3401-position model. The record is from RNAcentral. Lineage: Eukaryota; Metazoa; Arthropoda; Insecta; Diptera; Drosophilidae.